This is a long non-coding RNA of Populus euphratica (Euphrates poplar), 2369 nucleotides long. RefSeq lists it as uncharacterized. The transcript is spliced from 2 exons. The record is from RefSeq and is a predicted model, not a curated record. Lineage: Eukaryota; Viridiplantae; Streptophyta; Magnoliopsida; Malpighiales; Salicaceae.
UGGCUUGUAGACAUGGAAACCUACAGGUGUACCAGUACUGUGCUUCAUUCUUCAUACAAAAUGAGAAUAUUUAAUUUGAAAAUCAGAACUCUGAUACUUUCUAACAUGGAAAACGCAAGAAUUCUCAGCGUCUUCUUUCUCUACAUAAAAACAUUUUCAUCAUGCAUGAUCCCAUUUGAUCGUUGUUCCAUCCUUUACCAAAAUGCAUGUCACAAAAAGCUUCGGAUCUUUCCAUUGCCUUCAUUUAAAUGGUCGAUUUUCACGGUAUACCCAGGAGGCUGAAUUUGCAACCACAUGUGAUGUACUGUCGAGACAAUUGAAUGUAGAGGGCAACGUUUAUGCACCAUGUCUGUCUACCCGAUGUGCGACUAGUAAGUGUUUUCUCCAACCAAGAUAGUUACGUAUAUUAUAAAAAAUAACGUGUGGGGAUAUCUUCCUAUCAAUAUUUAAAUUAAGUAUCUUCAAUCUCUUUAAGAAAUCUCAAAGAUAUCAUCAAGACAUUUUAUAAUAAGAUCUCAUGUAUUUAUAUGAUCCAUCAUUUAACUUAUUCAGUGCUGGGAAAGUGGGUUGCAUGCACCGCAUGUAGCUUUGUCCACAUUCCCAAACAUGUCCUCAUGUUCAUUGAUCUUUGGCAAUAUUAUAAACCUAAAUUAUAUUUCCUUCAUCUGUACAUUACAUUCGACUGAACAACUAAUCACAUGCAUGUACUGAAAGCAUUCUCUGUAGAAUUAAGGACUCUACCUCGUAUGAUCAUAUAUAUCCUAGCUUAAGGAUCUUGUGUGAAUUUGAUAUGGAACAUCAAAUCACAUGUCUGUUAAUUAAAAGGAUGCAUAGUUUGUAACCUUAAAGCCCUCGUUUUCAUUCAAUUGUUAGAAAAUUUGUGCUCUUAUAUGAAAUCUGAAUGAGUUAGACAAUAUAUAAGACAUAGGAAAGUUUAGAAUGCCUAGAGAAUAUCAAACAAUCAAAAUUAACAUGUUAAUUCUUAAUUUUCGUAGAAAAAAUUACGUGGUAUGUACAAUAGUAUAUGGCAUAUGCAGAUAGUAGUCUUAAAUACAUGUUAUAUAUAGGCCACAUGUAUUAGUACACACCAAAUGCCUCAUGUGCAUGCACAGAACGUCAAGCAAUUUUCAGAUACAAUCAGACUGAAGUAGGAUAUAUAUGUCAAAUUAAGGUGCGUAGAAAGUAGAGGAUCACAUGAGUCUGCAUGCAUGGGAAGCCCAAUCACCAUGUAUUUAACUUUUGCAGGUUGCAAGCGUACAAUAUUACUCAUUUAUAGCAUCAGUAGUUGAUAGGUGAGCGGGAAGUGUGAUUGCAUGCAUAAAUGCAUAAUGCUGCGAUGUCACUGAUGAACUUGGUCUGAAAUAGAAGCUGGCUAGCUCUAGCCUUCUCUGAUUACGUUCACAAUAAACUUCGUAGUCUUGCUUUUCAUGAUCCUAAAAUAGUCCAUUCCAAAUUAGUUUCAGAAUUUCAAAAACUUGUGUUUGAUUAUUGUAUAAAACAAAAAAAAGAAAAUAUAAAAUAAUUUUUUCAAAAAUUUUGAAGUUAAUCUAUAUAUCUUUUCUACUCUAAAACAAGAAAUACAAGAAAUUAUAAAACAAUAAAUACAAGAAAAUGCUACCCAGGUGAUGAGACGAAUCUAACGAGUGGUAGAUCUUACACGCAUGAGUCAUGUGUAACAUGACUCUAAACUUUGGUAAUAUUCUUAAAUGGGAGACUAUCGUACGUGUUCUCAUAGUGAUAUUAAUUACUCGAGCGAGAAUAAUUGUCUUUUCUUCCAUCAUAUUAAUUAACAAUCAUCGUCCUGUAACCGCCAAAACAAAUCAAAAACAAUCCUCUUUUGCCUUUUUGGAGUCUUCAUGUUCUUAGCAUUAGGUGAAUUUGCAUUACCUUUCAUCAACCAUUGUAGAUGGUACUGAACAAUAUACAACCUCAAAAACCAAGUUACGAGGUUUUUAGACUUAUUAAUGUAUCUUUUUUUGAACAAAACACCUACAAAAGGGUUCUUGAUAAUAUGUAACCAUGCUUGCAUGGAAAGCUCUACAAACACCAGGUUCUCUCUCAAGUUCUCAUCAUUCCAGAGAAGGUAACAGCUUUAAUUACUAUCAUUGAGCAUCUCAUAGCAAUUACUUAUAGUGUCCAACAUUCGCUUAUGGUUCUAUCGUCGAACCAAUAUGCAAAAAAGUUCAAGUACAUAUCUUAGUAACUUGUUUGGAGGUUGGAUUUGUGAACCUAGCUAAUUACAGUUUUUGAUGAGAGAUUGGGAGUUUCAAGGUUCAAAUACCUAGAUUCCUGUUUAAAUGAAGCUCGAGCUGCAUGACUGAUUUAACAAUAGUAAUUAUAACUUUAUAAAUCAUUAUAUAUACUUCUAU